Molecule: ribosomal RNA, 253 nt
Filed under: uncultured bacterium
Lineage: Bacteria
Description: partial 16S ribosomal RNA
Rfam family: Bacterial small subunit ribosomal RNA
Source: RNAcentral
UACGAAGGGGGCUAGCGUUGUUCGGAAUUACUGGGCGUAAAGGGCGCGUAGGCGGGCUAUCAAGUCCGGGGUGAAAUCCUCCAGCUUAACUGGAGAACGGCCUCGGAUACUGAUGGUCUCGAGGGGGAUAGGGGCACGCGGAACUGUGGGUGGAGCGGUGAAAUGCGUUGAUAUUCAUAGGAACUCCGGUGGCGAAAGCGGCGUGCUGGAGCCCGUCUGACGCUGAGGCGCGAAAGCCAGGGGAGCAAACGGG